This 242-nucleotide ribosomal RNA is filed under the name uncultured bacterium. RNAcentral's name for it is "partial 16S ribosomal RNA". It matches the Rfam family "Bacterial small subunit ribosomal RNA", at positions 535 to 776 of the family's 1533-position model. The record is from RNAcentral.
CUAGCGUUGCUCGGAAUUACUGGGCGUAAAGCGCACGUAGGCGGCUUUCUAAGUCGGGGGUGAAAUCCUGGAGCUCAACUCCAGAACUGCCUUCGAUACUGGAGAGCUCGAGUCCGGGAGAGGUGAGUGGAACUGCGAGUGUAGAGGUGAAAUUCGUAGAUAUUCGCAAGAACACCAGUGGCGAAGGCGGCUCACUGGCCCGAUACUGACGCUGAGGUGCGAAAGCGUGGGGAGCAAACAGG